Molecule: ribosomal RNA, 337 nt
Filed under: uncultured Acidobacteriota bacterium
Lineage: Bacteria; Pseudomonadati; Acidobacteriota
Description: bacterial SSU rRNA
Rfam family: Bacterial small subunit ribosomal RNA
Source: RNAcentral
AAUGAACGCUGGCGGCGUGCCUAACACAUGCAAGUCGUGCGCGAACGGGACUUCGGUCCCUAGUAGAGCGGCGAACGGGUGAGUAACACGUGGGUAACCUGCCUGGGAGUGGGGGAUAACCUGGGGAAACUCGGGCUAAUACCGCAUACGUUCCCGGGGCUUCGGCUCCGGGAGGAAAGAUGGCCUCUGCUUGCAAGCUAUCUCUCCCAGAGGGGCCCGCGGCUGAUUAGCUAGUUGGUGGGGUAACGGCCCACCAAGGCGACGAUCAGUAGCCGGCCUGAGAGGGUGAUCGGCCACACUGGAACUGAGACACGGUCCAGACUCCUACGGGUGGCUG